Long non-coding RNA from Zingiber officinale, 1019 nucleotides. RefSeq lists it as uncharacterized. The record is from RefSeq and is a predicted model, not a curated record. Lineage: Eukaryota; Viridiplantae; Streptophyta; Magnoliopsida; Zingiberales; Zingiberaceae. The transcript is spliced from 2 exons.
AGACACACAUUUAAGUUGCCCCACAUAGUGAGUUCCAAAUUGUAACUGGAGCUCCCUAACAUGAAAUAGUUCUCGAGGGGUAGUUUCGAAAGCCAUGAGGAAAGCUUGCCGGCUGAGGACUUUCGACAUUCUAUGCAGCCACUUGUGAAAAUUGAAGACAUGGAUGCGACCAAAGGGGUUCGUAGUCCCGUCCUAAUUUCGAAUUAGGGACCCAUGGAUUCCUAGGAGUCUUCUCCUCGAAAGCUAGCUAGAGAGAGGAAAGGGUUAGAAGACAAGCGAGGGCUCUAUUGCAUCACAUGCAAUUUGGGACAACUUUCGGAGGGAAAACAGCAUUUGUCGACGCACCGGAGCGAGCCAGAGAACACGAUCGUGCAAACCUUACACGGCUGUGUGGCCAAACAGAAGAGGAGAAGUGCACGGCCGUGCAACCCUUGCACGACCGUGCGGGCAACCCAGAGGCAGAUCAGAGCAUGACCGUGCAUCCUUGCACGGUCGUGCCCCCCAUGAUCGAGACCAAGCAGCACACGGCUAUACAACCCUGCACGACCAUGUCCCCAGAGCCGAGUCCCAGUAUUACACGCCCGUGCCUAUUGGCACGACCGUGCAGAGCACCCAGAGCCAAGAAAGGGCAUGGUCGUGCCAUCCUUGCAUGGUCGUGCCGAGCGCUGCGCCCUAGCCUAUAAAAGGAGUUUUAACCCUUUUUCCGAGGGGGGGGGGGGAGAGCCGGGAGACGAGCUGUCAACAGGAGAAUCACUCUGGUGUCGUUCCACGCCGUUCAGAACAUCGGUCUAGCGAUCUUUCAUCACCACAUCAACUCCAGAAGCAAAGGAUUGGAUUCGAAGAUCACUCGUCGUCGUUGGAUAAGCAUACUUCUUCCUUCUCUCAUCGUGUUGAGAAUUUGUAUGUUUAUAUACAUCAUGUCUUCGGGUUUAUCUCCAACAUCUAUGGAGUAGAGUCCUUGUUCUACGAUGAGGGAGUAAUUGUGGAUUGAUUUUGAUGUAAGACUCAUACUAUGCUUA